CACACACACACACACACAGAUUCCUAAUGUCGUCUCUUGAGCCACUUAGCUGCACUUCAGCCUCCUGCUGUGAUGUUUUCCCUCAUCUCAGGCUCUGAGGAAUGGAUUCAGUUAUCUGUGGACUGAGAUCUCUGUGAGGCCCAAAUACACUUUUCCUCCUCUAGAGCUGUUUUGACAGGUCUCUUAGUCAUACCACAGAAAAGGCUGACUAAAACAUCUAGAGAUCAAUAUUGGGAAAUGAACAUAGAGAAACAUAUGUGUUCCUUUGUGUAGAUACACACAUGCUCAGUACACUAAGGGUAUUAUACAACAAUACAUUCUUCUAAACCCAAACAUAAUCCUUCCUUAAAAAAAACUGUAUUUAUUGUUCUUCUUCUUAUUUAGUGUUCCAUCUAUAUCCAAGCACAAACUUGAAAGUCAUAGCCAUUACCUAGAAACUAUUUAUUUAUUGGUUUAUUGUACCAGGGACUGAACUCAGGAACACUUAACCACUGAGCCACACCCCCAACCUGUUUAUAUUAUUAUUUUUUUAUUUAAAGACAGGAUCUUUCUAAGUUGCUUAGGGCCUCACUAAGUUGCUGAGGCUGGGUUUGAACUUGUGAUACUCCUAUCUCAGCUCCUCAAGAUGCUAGGAUUACAGUCGUGCACCACCAUAACCAUCUUAAUUUUAUAUUUAUUUAUGGUUUCAUAUGAUACUUAUUUUACAAUGAACAGUGUUGAAAA
This 723-nucleotide long non-coding RNA is filed under the name Marmota monax (woodchuck). Lineage: Eukaryota; Metazoa; Chordata; Mammalia; Rodentia; Sciuridae. The record is from RNAcentral.